GAUGAACGCUGGCGGCAUGCCUAAGACAUGCAAGUCGAACGAGACGGCCCAAUGAAGAUAGAGUGCUUGCACAAAGUUGGAUUUGGAUUCCCGUCUAGUGGCGCAAGGGUGAAUAACACGUGGGUAAUCUACCUUCGAGUCUGGAAUAACAGUUAGAAAUGAUUGCUAAUGCCGGAUGGUAUAUAGGAAGACAUACUACUUAUAUUAAAAGGGGCCUCAAAGCCUCGCUUGAAGAUGAGCCUGCGCCGUAUUAGUUAGUUGGUGGGGUAACGGCCUACCAAGACGACGAUGCGUAGCCGACCUGAGAGGGUGAUCGGCCACACUGGGACUGAGACACGGCCCAGACUCCUACGGGAGACAGCAGUUAGGAAUAUUCGUCAAUGGGGGAAACCCUGAACGAGCAAUGCCGCGUGAAGGAAGAAGGUACUUCGGGGUCGUAAACUUCUAUCCUUGGUGAAGGAUAAUGACGGUAGCCAAGAAGGAAGCCCCGGCU
Molecule: ribosomal RNA, 493 nt
Filed under: uncultured bacterium
Lineage: Bacteria
Description: bacterial SSU rRNA
Rfam family: Bacterial small subunit ribosomal RNA
Source: RNAcentral